GGUUAAGUGACUAAGCGUACACGGUGGAUGCCUUGGCAGUCAGCGGCGAUGAAGGACGUAUUAACUUGCGAUAAGCCCAGAUUAGGCAGUAAAAGCCACUCGAGUCUGGGAUUUCCGAAUGGGGAAACCCACUCGCAUAAGCGAGUAUCGCUGCGUGAAUACAUAGCGCAGCGAGGCGAACCGGGGGAACUGAAACAUCUAAGUACCCCGAGGAAAAGAAAUCAACCGAGAUUCCGAAAGUAGCGGCGAGCGAAAUUGGACUAGCCCUUAAGCUUUACACACGUUAGACGAACGGUCUGGAAAGUCCGACGAUACAGGGUGAUAGUCCCGUAGUUGACGAUGUGUGUUCAGUGAAAUCGAGUAGGGCGGGACACGUGAUAUCCUGUCUGAAUAUGGGGGGACCAUCCUCCAAGGCUAAAUACUACUGACUGACCGAUAGUGAACCAGUACCGUGAGGGAAAGGCGAAAAGAACCCCUGUGAGGGGAGUGAAAUAGAACCUGAAACCGUGUACGUACAAGCAGUAGGAGCACCUUCGUGGUGUGACUGCGUACCUUUUGUAUAAUGGGUCAGCGACUUAUAUUCAGUGGCAAGGUUAACCAUCUAGGGGAGCCGUAGGGAAACCGAGUCUUAACUGGGCGUUUUAGUCUCUGGAUAUAGACCCGAAACCAGGUGAUCUAGCCAUGGGCAGGUUGAAGGUUGAGUAACAUCAACUGGAGGACCGAACCGACUAAUGUUGAAAAAUUAGCGGAUGACUUGUGGCUAGGGGUGAAAGGCCAAUCAAACCUGGAGAUAGCUGGUUCUCCCCGAAAGCUAUUUAGGUAGCGCCUCGGACGAAUACUACUGGGGGUAGAGCACUGUUAAGGCUAGGGGGUCAUCCCGACUUACCAACCCUUUGCAAACUCCGAAUACCAGUAAGUACUAUCCGGGAGACACACGGCGGGUGCUAACGUCCGUCGUGGAGAGGGAAACAACCCAGACCGCCAGCUAAGGUCCCAAAUUACUACUAAGUGGGAAACGAUGUGGGAAGGCUCAGACAGCCAGGAUGUUGGCUUAGAAGCAGCCAUCAUUUAAAGAAAGCGUAAUAGCUCACUGGUCGAGUCGGCCUGCGCGGAAGAUGUAACGGGGCUAAGUAGUAAACCGAAGCUGCGGCAAUACUCUUUGAGUAUUGGGUAGGGGAGCGUUCUGUAAGCGGUUGAAGGUGUGUGGUAACGCAUGCUGGACGUAUCAGAAGUGCGAAUGCUGACAUGAGUAACGAUAAAGGGGGUGAAAAACCUCCUCGCCGGAAGACCAAGGGUUCCUGUCCAACGUUAAUCGGGGUAGGGUAAGUCGACCCCUAAGGCGAGGCCGAAAGGCGUAGUCGAUGGGAAACGGGUUAAUAUUCCCGUACUUCUUACAAUUGCGAUGGGGGGACGGAGAAGGCUAGGUGGGCCUGGCGACGGUUGUCCAGGUUCAAGUGCGUAGGCUUAAGAGUUAGGUAAAUCCGGCUCUUUUUAAGGCUGAGACACGACGUCGAGCUACUACGGUAGUGAAGUCAUUGAUGCCAUGCUUCCAGGAAAAGCCUCUAAGCUUCAGAUUGUAAGGAAUCGUACCCCAAACCGACACAGGUGGUCGGGUAGAGAAUACCAAGGCGCUUGAGAGAACUCGGGUGAAGGAACUAGGCAAAAUGGUACCGUAACUUCGGGAGAAGGUACGCUCCUGGCGGUGAAGUCCCUUGCGGAUGGAGCUACUAGGAGUCGCAGAUACCAGGUGGCUGCAACUGUUUAUUAAAAACACAGCACUGUGCAAAAUCGUAAGAUGACGUAUACGGUGUGACGCCUGCCCGGUGCCGGAAGGUUAAUUGAUGGGGUUAGACUUCGGUCGAAGCUCUUGAUCGAAGCCCCGGUAAACGGCGGCCGUAACUAUAACGGUCCUAAGGUAGCGAAAUUCCUUGUCGGGUAAGUUCCGACCUGCACGAAUGGCGUAAUGAUGGCCACGCUGUCUCCACCCGAGACUCAGUGAAAUUGAAAUCGCUGUGAAGAUGCAGUGUACCCGCGGCUAGACGGAAAGACCCCGUGAACCUUUACUACAGCUUGGCACUGAACAUUGACCCUACAUGUGUAGGAUAGGUGGGAGGCUUUGAAGACGGUACGCCAGUAUCGUUGGAGCCGACCUUGAAAUACCACCCUUGUAGUGUUGAUGUUCUAACGUUGGCCCCUAAUCGGGGUUACGGACAGUGCCUGGUGGGUAGUUUGACUGGGGCGGUCUCCUCCCAAAGAGUAACGGAGGAGCACGAAGGUGGGCUAAUCACGGUUGGACAUCGUGAGGUUAGUGCAAUGGCAUAAGCCCGCUUGACUGCGAGAAUGACAAUUCGAGCAGGUGCGAAAGCAGGUCAUAGUGAUCCGGUGGUUCUGAAUGGAAGGGCCAUCGCUCAACGGAUAAAAGGUACUCCGGGGAUAACAGGCUGAUACCGCCCAAGAGUUCAUAUCGACGGCGGUGUUUGGCACCUCGAUGUCGGCUCAUCACAUCCUGGGGCUGAAGUCGGUCCCAAGGGUAUGGCUGUUCGCCAUUUAAAGUGGUACGCGAGCUGGGUUUAGAACGUCGUGAGACAGUUCGGUCCCUAUCUGCCGUGGGCGUUGGAAGAUUGAAGGGGGCUGCUCCUAGUACGAGAGGACCGGAGUGGACGAACCUCUGGUGUUCGGGUUGUGUCGCCAGACGCAUUGCCCGGUAGCUAAGUUCGGAAUCGAUAACCGCUGAAAGCAUCUAAGCGGGAAGCGAGCCCUGAGAUGAGUCUUCCCUGAUACUUUAAGUAUCCUAAAGGGUUGUCGGAGACUACGACGUUGAUAGGUCAGGUGUGUAAGUGCUGUGAGGCAUUGAGCUAACUGAUACUAAUUGCCCGUGAGGCUUAACCAU
This 2890-nucleotide ribosomal RNA is filed under the name Vibrio parahaemolyticus. RNAcentral's name for it is "LSU rRNA". It matches the Rfam family "Bacterial large subunit ribosomal RNA". Lineage: Bacteria; Pseudomonadati; Pseudomonadota; Gammaproteobacteria; Vibrionales; Vibrionaceae. The record is from RNAcentral.